RNAcentral lists this ribosomal RNA (622 nucleotides) under uncultured Sebacina. RNAcentral describes it as "eukaryotic LSU rRNA". The stretch from base 240 to 393 matches the Rfam family "5.8S ribosomal RNA". The record is from RNAcentral. Lineage: Eukaryota; Fungi; Basidiomycota; Agaricomycetes; Sebacinales; Sebacinaceae.
UCGUAACAAGGUUUCCGUAGGUGAACCCGCGGAAGGAUCAUUAAUGAAACUUCAAAGUCGGCUUGUCAUCUGUGCUGGUGGAGACACAUGUGCACGUUGCAAGUCGCAAAUCCCACACACCUGUGCACCUAUGACUCUGAGUACCGCUUUGCAUGGGCCCCUCAAAGGCCCUGGUACUCGAGUACUUUUACACACUCUGGAUGUAAUGGAAUGUCUAUUGUACAAUGUACAACUAAAACAACUUUCAACAACGGAUCUCUUGGCUCUCGCAUCGAUGAAGAACGCAGCGAAAUGCGAUAAGUAAUGUGAAUUGCAGAAUUCAGUGAAUCAUCGAAUCUUUGAACGCACCUUGCACCCUUUGGUAUUCCGAAGGGUACACCCGUUUGAGUGUCAUUGUAAUCUCACCCCUUUGACUUUUUUGUUGAUCGGUGUGGACUUGGAUGUUGCUGUGUAACAAACGGCUCGUCUGAAAUGCCUGAGUGUACCCUGCUUUGCGGCGUAUUUGGUGUGAUAAAUCUUCACCAGAGUUGACUUUUUCAAGUCGCGCUUGUACCUGUGGGCUCUAUGCUUCCAACCGUCCUGACAAGACAAUCUUUGACAAUUUGACCUCAAAUCGGGUGGG